RNAcentral lists this ribosomal RNA (465 nucleotides) under uncultured bacterium. Its description in RNAcentral is "partial 16S ribosomal RNA". It matches the Rfam family "Bacterial small subunit ribosomal RNA", at positions 28 to 507 of the family's 1533-position model. The record is from RNAcentral.
GACGAACGCUGGCGGCGUGCUUAACACAUGCAAGUCGAACGGAAAGGCCCCUUUGGGGGUACUCGAGUGGCGAACGGGUGAGUAACACGUGAGUAACCUCCCCUUGACUUCGGGAUAACUUCAGGAAACUGGGGCUAAUACCGGAUAGGAAUCCUUGCUGCAUGGUGGGGGUUGGAAAGCUUCGGCGGUUUUGGAUGGACUCGCGGCUUAUCAGCUUGUUGGUGGGGUAGUGGCUUACCAAGGCUUUGACGGGUAGCCGGCCUGAGAGGGCGACCGGCCACAUUGGGACUGAGAUACGGCCCAGACUCCUACGGGAGGCAGCAGUGGGGAAUAUUGCACAAUGGGCGGAAGCCUGAUGCAGCAACGCCGCGUGCGGGAUGACGGCCUUCGGGUUGUAAACCGCUUUCAGCAGGGGCGAAGCUUGUGGUGACGGUACCUGCAGAAGAAGCACCGGCUAACUACGUG